UCGUAAGUCGUCGCACCCUUAUGCGCUGCGGCGGCGAGCUUCGUUCGGCCCUUGAUGGAGCUGCGAAGUUUCACCAGAAAAAGGAA
This is a non-coding RNA of Pseudomonas putida S11, 86 nucleotides long. The record is from Rfam. NCBI's taxonomy places the organism in Bacteria, Pseudomonadati, Pseudomonadota, Gammaproteobacteria, Pseudomonadales, Pseudomonadaceae.